Molecule: long non-coding RNA, 526 nt
Organism: Sapajus apella (tufted capuchin)
Lineage: Eukaryota; Metazoa; Chordata; Mammalia; Primates; Cebidae
Exons: 2
Source: RefSeq, a predicted model, not a curated record
GGAGGCUGAGGUGGGAGAAUCACCUGAGCCCAGGACUUCAAGGCGGCAGUGGGCCCUGUUUGUGCCACUGCACUCCAGCCUCUGGAAAAUACUCCAGAGGCAUUUUCCAUUUUACAUCUGCCAUGCAGAAAAGGGGGUGCCAUGCAGAGAGUGGCCUCUGGUCCUUUUGUUACUUGAGCAUGUAAAGUUGGCAUUUUCCUUUUGACUUAGUUUUAGGAAGUCGGUGGGAAUUGGCAGCAGAGUGAGACUCUGUUUCAAAAAAAAAAAAAGAAUGUGACAUUAUUUAGAAAUAUGGUCAUUGAUAUAAUUAGUUAAGACGGGGCAAUGGGGCCGUAUGAGAUUAGAAUGGACCCUAAAUGCUAUAAUUGGUGUCCUUAUAAGAAGGUUGUGUGGUGAGAGUGGAGCGAUGCGUCCACAACCCAAGGAACUUCAAAUCUUGGUGUUACCAGUGAAGGGUGUCCAGGUUCCUGGCAUCUUGAACAAAGAAUUGGGCAAAACGCACAUACAAAGCAAGGAAAGAAUGAAG